This 26-nucleotide unclassified non-coding RNA is filed under the name Mus musculus (house mouse). Its description in RNAcentral is "oocyte_clustered_small_RNA8284". The record is from RNAcentral. Lineage: Eukaryota; Metazoa; Chordata; Mammalia; Rodentia; Muridae.
UUCCUCUAAUGAGCUGUUUCUAAUCU